This 253-nucleotide ribosomal RNA is filed under the name uncultured bacterium. RNAcentral describes it as "partial 16S ribosomal RNA". It matches the Rfam family "Bacterial small subunit ribosomal RNA", at positions 524 to 776 of the family's 1533-position model. The record is from RNAcentral.
UACGUAGGGUGCAAGCGUUGUCCGGAAUUAUUGGGCGUAAAGAGCUCGUAGGUGGCCUGUCGCGUCGGCUGUGAAAACUUGGGGCUCAACUCCGAGCUUGCAGUCGAUACGGGCAGGCUAGAGUUCGGCAGGGGAGACUGGAAUUCCUGGUGUAGCGGUGAAAUGCGCAGAUAUCAGGAGGAACACCGGUGGCGAAGGCGGGUCUCUGGGCCGAUACUGACACUGAGGAGCGAAAGCGUGGGGAGCGAACAGG